GCGCUUAACACAUGCAAGUCGAACGAGAAAGUGGAGCAAUCCAUGAGUACAGUGGCGUACGGGUGAGUAACACGUGGGGAUCUACCUUCUGGUGGGGGAUAACUCUGGGAAACCGGAGCUAAUACCGCAUAAGCAGGGAACUGGAAAGCCGAAAGGCGCCGGAAGAGGAGCCCGCGGCCGAUUAGCCAGUUGGUGAGGUAACGGCUCACCAAAGCAAAGAUCGGUAGCCGGCCUGAGAGGGCACACGGCCACACUGGCACUGAAACACGGGCCAG
Molecule: ribosomal RNA, 275 nt
Filed under: uncultured bacterium
Lineage: Bacteria
Description: partial 16S ribosomal RNA
Rfam family: Bacterial small subunit ribosomal RNA
Source: RNAcentral